UCCAAAAGCAAAGGGUGUUGGGAUGCUGUCAGGAGUCUUAUGGCCUGGCACCCCCCCUCCCUUUUUAACUCCUAAGAGUCUUACUGCUCAUGUGUAAUUGGGGAGCUCUCCUUGAACCCAAGAGUGAUUGAAAUGGUCAUCUUAUCUUUCUAUUCCACCAGAGCUCAGCUUUUACCAGAGCUCAGCUUUUAACUUUUUCCUUGACCUGUCAAAGAGAAACAAGGCCUGAUUUAUUUGGCCUAACAACUGUUCUCAGCCCAGGGGCCCAUCUACCUCCUACCUCACCCUGACUCCUCAGCAGCUGCCAGAGCCCAUUUUGCUCCAGGGAUCUUGGGGGGACUGUCCCUGGCAAGCACCAGCUGCCCAGGGCUUGAGGCUGUUUGGAACUGAGAAAUGUCCAGAGCUGCAGUCUGCACUCAAUGUCGUUUGGUGGAUCCAGGCUGCUCCAGAGGGCUCCAUCUGGGAAUGGAAGCGGAAUUUCUGGGCUACUCCUCCUCUGAGGCUUUGUUGUUUGUGUGUGCACUGUAGUACUUGCAUUGAAACUCCUGGCUCCUCCUUACUGCUUUGGAGCAGUCCCUCAGAGCUAAAUGAGAGGCUAUCUUCAGGGCUUAAGUCCUCAGCAAGUUCAUCAAAUAAAACAUAAUUCUCAACUUUAAUGUUGUGCAAUUUUUUUCUUAGUUGUCAAGUCAAUCAGAAAUUUCCUGAUAAAAGCACCUAAUAGACUGUUCACCUCCCCUAAAAGAAAGUAAUCUUGAAAUAACCAACUUGCCUUUUUGCCUGGUAUUACUUCCUUGUUCCUUCUGCCUAUAAAAAUCUUGAAUUCUGUACAACUCCUCAGGGCUCCUUUCUAUCUGCUAGUCUGGAUGCUGCCAAUUCAUGAAUCAUUAAAUAAAUCCAA
Non-coding RNA from Sus scrofa (pig), 898 nucleotides. NCBI's taxonomy places the organism in Eukaryota, Metazoa, Chordata, Mammalia, Artiodactyla, Suidae. The record is from RefSeq and is a predicted model, not a curated record.